UACGUAGGGGGCAAGCGUUGUCCGGAAUCAUUGGGCGUAAAGCGCGCGUAGGCGGCCCUGUAAGUCCGUUGUGAAAGUCGAAGGCUCAACCUUCGAAAGCCGAUGGAUACUGCAGGGCUAGAGUCCGGAAGAGGCGAGUGGAAUUCCUGGUGUAGCGGUGGAAUGCGCAGAUAUCAGGGGGAACACCAAUAGCGAAGGCAGCUCGCUGGGACGGUACUGACGCUAAGGCGCGAAAGCGUGGGGAGCAAACAGG
Molecule: ribosomal RNA, 253 nt
Filed under: uncultured bacterium
Lineage: Bacteria
Description: partial 16S ribosomal RNA
Rfam family: Bacterial small subunit ribosomal RNA
Source: RNAcentral